This is a long non-coding RNA of Raphanus sativus (radish), 572 nucleotides long. RefSeq lists it as uncharacterized. The transcript is spliced from 3 exons. The record is from RefSeq and is a predicted model, not a curated record. Lineage: Eukaryota; Viridiplantae; Streptophyta; Magnoliopsida; Brassicales; Brassicaceae.
GUUUUUUUUUCAGAAUAUGUGAAACUACGUAGUUUUAUCUUAGGUUUCCUUAUCUCAAAACUAAUCUCUUUGCCGUCUCUCUGUCUUUCCUCUCUGUGUCGAUGAAUUUCAAAACAUGAAUCCAAAUUGAGAAACCUUUUUCGUUUUCUUAAAUCUGUGGUGGGUCUCUUCGUUUUCUUCAUCAAGAGAAACCUCUUUCUCUCUUUUAGUCUCUGGCGCCUUCUCUCUCUUUCUCAGUCUCUCUCAGGCGUUCUCUCUCCGGCGACAACCUCUCUCUCCGGCGACUUCUCUCUCUCCGGCGACCUCUCUCUCCGGCGACCUCUCUCUCUCUCGCUCAGGAGGUUCAAACAUGCCAUGAAAAUGAGCAUAAGUGUCACAGUGAAGAGAGCAGGAGUCACUUGUAGAAGAACUGAUGAAGAAGGUGUCACUUUUUGAUGCAAAACUAUUUUGUUGUUUUUGAUGUUUUUAUUUCAAACACAAGCUUGAUGCAAAACUGUUUAUUAUGCUGUCAUGUUUUUUAACUAUGAUUAUUGUUGAAAUACGUGGUUGAAUGGCAUAUCUAUAUUGCUCCA